Molecule: long non-coding RNA, 1694 nt
Filed under: Sus scrofa (pig)
Lineage: Eukaryota; Metazoa; Chordata; Mammalia; Artiodactyla; Suidae
Description: lncRNA (ENSSSCG00060065668.1)
Source: RNAcentral
GCACCGCGGACUCCUUGGUGAGGACGCAAACCCCAAGCCCACUGCUACUUCAGGGGUCUUUUGCGUUUCCCGAGGCAGAACCUUGGUGAGGCUUUGUCUAAUGCAGUCAAGGUUAGGAGACUCUGCGGCCAUUCCUUCCAUUUCGCUCAGUCCUUCCGGGAGAAGCACCUGCUCCUUUCGGCGGGGGUGGGGGACAGGGGGAACUGCUCCUCUCGCCCUCCUUGGUGGGGGUGGGGCGACAGGGUUACCAGCUCAUUGCUUCCUCCCGUGGUGGGGAGACGGGGCUACUGGCUCAUCUCUUCCUCCUGUGGCAUCUGGCUCUGAUACUCAUGCCAACCCCGCCCCCUCCCCGGUGUGGAUGCUGGAUGCCUGCCUUGCUCUGUUAGGAUAAUGGCUCAGAGACUAAAGUGUUCCGGAGAGAUGGGAAAGAGAUCAGCUUUAUUUUUGAAGCAUGAAACCUCUGAGAAAGUCCUAAUGUAAGGAAUUGACCCCAGAAUCACUUGCAAUAAGAAGCAAGUCCACUUGGUGAGAUAUGGGGGGAGCAGGGGUCCCAGGGAGCAAGGUGGUGCUGUUGCAUUUCUGUUUGCGGUGUGACUCGAAGGCCUGUCAGAGCCAACGAGGGAAACAGACUCUGCUGCUCUAAUGUCCUUUGCUGGAAGUGCAGCCGAGGGUCAUUAGGACACACUGUGCGAGGGGCAGUGCUACCUGUGGUCCCUCACAGGCAGGCCCUUAGGGGCCCAGGAUCGUUGUGCUCUGGGCACUUACGCCCCCCCCCCGACAUGCCCGAGCCGUUACAGUCCAGGCAGGCUCUGCAAGUCCACGGCAUCCCUGGGCAUCAUCAUGCUCCACCAUGCCCCCUUACUCCCCACCGUGCUCCACCAUGCUCCAUUGUCCUCCGUCAUGCUCCACCAUGCUCUCCUGUGCCUAACCAUCCUCCACCAUCUUCCACGGUGCUCCAUCAUGCUUUAUCAUCCUCUACCGUGCUUCCUUAUGCUUCACCAUACUCCACCAUGCUCCACUAUACUCCACCAUCCUCCAUUGGCCUCCAUCAUGCUCUGCCAUGCUCUACUGUGCCUAACCAUCCUCCACCAUCUUUCACUGUGCUUCCCCAUCCUCUACCGUCUUCCACUGUGCUUCACCAUCCUCCACUGUGCUCCAUCAUGCUCCAUCAUCCUCUACCAUGCUUCCUUAUCUUCACCAUACUCCACCAUGCUCCACUAUACUCCACCAUGCUCCACUGUGCUCCAUCAUGCUCCAUCAUCCUCUACCAUGCUUCCUUAUGCUUCACCAUACUCCACCAUGCUCCACGGGCCUCCAUCAUGCUCCGCCAUGCUCUACUGUGCUUCACCAUCCUCUGCCAUGCCCCACCAUGCUUCACUCUGCUUCCCCAUGCUCCGUUAUCCUCCAUCAUACUUCACCAUCCUUCACCGUGCCCUAUAAUGCUCCGUAAGCCUCCCUCAUGUUCCUUCAUGCUCCUCCAUGAUACCCGCCUGCUCCGUCACACUCCAUCAUGCUUCAUCACGGUCCCUGUGGCUCCACUUAGAGGAGACCACGACCUGGAGCCCGUGUGGGUCCCCCACCCACAGCACUGGCCUAAGGAGAGAGAGAGAGGCAGAGCGGCCGUGAGAGAACGUCCAGCCAGACCCAGCACCAGCCCCAGGAAGGAAGCCAUUCCAGCUCCAGGAAACCAAUGA